RNAcentral lists this ribosomal RNA (579 nucleotides) under uncultured bacterium. Its description in RNAcentral is "bacterial SSU rRNA". It matches the Rfam family "Bacterial small subunit ribosomal RNA", at positions 102 to 667 of the family's 1533-position model. The record is from RNAcentral.
ACGGGUGAGUAACACGUGGGCAACCUGCCCUUGAGACUGGGAUAACUUCGGGAAACCGGAGCUAAUACCGGAUAAUAUAAGGAACCUCCUGGUUCCUUAUUGAAAGAUGGUUUCGGCUAUCACUUAAGGAUGGGCCCGCGGCGCAUUAGCUAGUUGGUGAGGUAACGGCUCACCAAGGCGACGAUGCGUAGCCGACCUGAGAGGGUGAUCGGCCACACUGGGACUGAGACACGGCCCAGACUCCUACGGGAGGCAGCAGUAGGGAAUCUUCCACAAUGGACGAAAGUCUGAUGGAGCAACGCCGCGUGAGUGAUGAAGGCCUUCGGGUCGUAAAGCUCUGUUGUUAGGGAAGAACAAGUGCGAGAGUAACUGCUCGCACCUUGACGGUACCUAACCAGAAAGCCACGGCUAACUACGUGCCAGCAGCCGCGGUAAUACGUAGGUGGCAAGCGUUAUCCGGAAUUAUUGGGCGUAAAGCGCGCGCAGGUGGUUUCUUAAGUCUGAUGUGAAAGCCCACGGCUCAACCGUGGAGGGUCAUUGGAAACUGGGGAACUUGAGUGCAGAAGAGGAAAGUGGAAU